RNAcentral lists this ribosomal RNA (482 nucleotides) under uncultured bacterium. Its description in RNAcentral is "partial 16S ribosomal RNA". It matches the Rfam family "Bacterial small subunit ribosomal RNA", at positions 28 to 507 of the family's 1533-position model. The record is from RNAcentral.
GAUGAACGCUAGCGGCAGGCCUAAUACAUGCAAGUCGGACGGGAAGCAGGAGCUUGCUUCUGAUGAGAGUGGCGCAAGGGUGCGUAAAACGUAUGUAACCUACCUUUAUCAGGGGGAUAGACCCUCGAAAGAGAGAUGAAGCCCGCAUAAAAUAACAGCACAGCAUUGUGUAAGGAUCCAAUAUUUAGAGGAUAAAGAUGGGAAUGCUGAACAUUAGCUAGAUGGCGGGGUAACGGCCCACCAAGGCGACGAUGGGGAGGGGAUCUGCGGGGAUGGCCCCCCACACUGUUACUGGGCCCCUUACCACUGUCCUACGGGCGGCAGCCGUACGGGAGACUGCUCAGGGGGCUGUAGCCUGAUCCAGCCAUGCCGCGUGCAGGAAGACGGCCCUCCGGGUUGUAGCCUGCUUUUAUACGGGAAUAUUCCCAGAUACGUGUAUCUGGCUGACUGUACUGGAAGAAUAAGGACCGGCUAACUCCGUG